CACGAAGUUAGCCGGGGCUUAUUCUUACGGUACCGUCAUUAUCUUCCCGUACAAAAGGGCUUUACAACCCCAGGGCCUUCAUCACUCACGCGGCAUGGCUGGAUCAGGCUUGCGCCCAUUGUCCGAUAUUCCCCACUGCUGCCUCCCGUAGGAGUUUGGGCCGUGUCUCAGUCCCAAUGUGGCUGAUCAUCCUCUCAGACCAGCUACUGAUCGUCGCCUUGGUAGGCCAUUACCCUACCAACUAGCUAAUCAGACGCGGGCCGAUCUUUUGGCGAUAAAUCUUUCCCGUAAGGGCUUAUCCGGUAUUAGCACAAGUUUCCCUGUGUUGUUCCGAACCAAAGGUACGUUCCCACGUGUUACUCACCCGUCUGCCACUGAUACCGAAGUGCCGUUCGACUUGCAUGUGUUAAGCCUGCCGCCAGCGUUCGCUCUGAGCCAGGAUCAAACUCU
RNAcentral lists this ribosomal RNA (450 nucleotides) under uncultured Bradyrhizobiaceae bacterium. RNAcentral describes it as "partial 16S ribosomal RNA". Lineage: Bacteria; Pseudomonadati; Pseudomonadota; Alphaproteobacteria; Hyphomicrobiales; Nitrobacteraceae. The record is from RNAcentral.